This 572-nucleotide ribosomal RNA is filed under the name uncultured bacterium. RNAcentral's name for it is "bacterial SSU rRNA". It matches the Rfam family "Bacterial small subunit ribosomal RNA", at positions 328 to 916 of the family's 1533-position model. The record is from RNAcentral.
CGGGGGGACUCCUACGGGAGGCAGCAGUCGGGAAUUUUGGGCAAUGGGCGAAAGCCUGACCCAGCAACGCCGCGUGAAGGAUGAAGUCUCUCGGGAUGUAAACUUCGUAAGAAUAGGAAGAAUAAAUGACGGUACUAUUUGUAAGGUCCGGCUAACUACGUGCCAGCAGCCGCGGUAAUACGUAGGGACCAAGCGGUGUUCGGAUUUACUGGGCGUAAAGGGCGCGUAGGCGGCAAUUCAAGUCAGUUGUGAAAUCUCCGAGCUUAACUCGGAACGGUCAACUGAUACUGCUUUGCUAGAGUACAGAAGGGGCAAUCGGAAUUCUUGGUGUAGCGGUGAAAUGCGUAGAUAUCAAGAGGAACACCUGAGGUGAAGACGGGUUGCUGGGCUGAUACUGACGCUGAGGCGCGAAAGCUAGGGUAGCAAACGGGAUUAGAUACCCCGGUAGUCCUAGCCCUAAACGAUGAAUACUUGGUGUCUGGAGUUUUUAUUCUCUGGGUGCCGUCGCUAACGUUUUAAGUAUUCCGCCUGGGGAGUACGCACGCAAGUGUGAAACUCAAAGGAAUUGACGG